Molecule: transfer RNA, 74 nt
Filed under: Lachnospiraceae bacterium
Lineage: Bacteria; Bacillati; Bacillota; Clostridia; Lachnospirales; Lachnospiraceae
Also listed under: 2 other names
Description: tRNA-Arg
Rfam family: tRNA
About the family: Transfer RNA (tRNA) molecules are approximately 80 nucleotides in length.
Source: RNAcentral
GUGUGCGUAGCUCAGCUGGAUAGAGCGUCUGGCUACGGACCAGAAGGUCGCGGGUUCGAAUCCUGUCGCGCACG